RNAcentral lists this ribosomal RNA (442 nucleotides) under uncultured bacterium. RNAcentral's name for it is "partial 16S ribosomal RNA". It matches the Rfam family "Bacterial small subunit ribosomal RNA", at positions 338 to 795 of the family's 1533-position model. The record is from RNAcentral.
CCUACGGGCGGCUGCAGUGGGGGAUAUUGGGCAAUGGGCGCAAGCCUGACCCAGCAAUGCCGCGUGAAGGAAGAAGGCUUUCGGGUUGUAAACUUCUUUGACAGGGGAAGAGCAGAAGACGGUACCCUGAAAACAAGCCACGGCUAACUACGUGCCAGCAGCCGCGGUAAUACGUAGGUGGCAAGCGUUGUCCGGAUUUACUGGGUGUAAAGGGCGUGUAGCCGGGAAGGCAAGUCAGAUGUGAAAUCUGGAGGCUCAACCUCCAAAUUGCAUUUGAAACUGUUUUUCUGGAGUACUGGAGAGGCAGACGGAAUUCCUUGUGUAGCGGUGAAAUGCGUAGAUAUAAGGAGGAACACCAGUGGCGAAGGCGGUCUGCUGGACAGCAACUGACGGUGAGGCGCGAAAGCGUGGGGAGCAAACAGGAUUAGAUACUCCGGUAGUC